AGGAAUAUUGGUCAAUGGGCGGAAGCCUGAACCAGCCAUGCCGCGUGCAGGAAGACGGCUCUAUGAGUUGUAAACUGCUUUUGUACUAGGGUAAUUUGCGGUACGUGUACCGUAUUGAAAGUAUAGUACGAAUAAGGAUCGGCUAACUCCGUGCCAGCAGCCGCGGUAAUACGGAGGAUCCGAGCGUUAUCCGGAUUUAUUGGGUUUAAAGGGUGCGUAGGCGGCCUUUUAAGUCAGCGGUGAAAGUCUGUGGCUCAACCAUAGAAUUGCCGUUGAAACUGGGAGGCUUGAGUAUGUUUGAGGCAGGCGGAAUGCGUGGUGUAGCGGUGAAAUGCUUAGAUAUCACGCAGAACCCCGAUUGCGAAGGCAGCCUGCCAAGCCAUGACUGACGCUGAUGCACGAAAGCGUGGGGAUCAAACAGGAUUAGAUACCCUGGUAGUCCACGCAGUAAACGAUGAUCACUAGCUGUUUGCGAUACAGUGUAAGCGGCACAGCGAAAGCGUUAAGUGAUCCACCUGGGGAGUACGCCGGCAACGGUGAAACUCAAAGGAAUUGACGGGGGCCCGCACAAGCGGAGGAACAUGUGGUUUAAUUCGAUGAUACGCGAGGAACCUUACCCGGGUUUGAACGCAUUCGGACCGAGGUGGAAACACCUUUUCUAGCAAUAGCCGUUUGCGAGGUGCUGCAUGGUUGUCGUCAGCUCGUGCCGUGAGGUGUCGGCUUAAGUGCCAUAACGAGCGCAACCCUUGCCACUAGUUACUAACAGGUGAUGCUGAGGACUCUGGUGGGACUGCCAGCGUAAGCUGCGAGGAAGGCGGGGAUGACGUCAAAUCAGCACGGCCCUUACAUCCGGGGCGACACACGUGUUACAAUGGCGUGGACAAAGGGAUGCCACCUGGCGACAGGGAGCGAAUCCCCAAACCACGUCUCAGUUCGGAUCGGAGUCUGCAACCCGACUCCGUGAAGCUGGAUUCGCUAGUAAUCGCGCAUCAGCCAUGGCGCGGUGAAUACGUUCCCG
This 1018-nucleotide ribosomal RNA is filed under the name uncultured bacterium. Its description in RNAcentral is "bacterial SSU rRNA". It matches the Rfam family "Bacterial small subunit ribosomal RNA", at positions 357 to 1376 of the family's 1533-position model. The record is from RNAcentral.